Molecule: ribosomal RNA, 1504 nt
Filed under: Bacteroides xylanisolvens SD CC 1b
Lineage: Bacteria; Pseudomonadati; Bacteroidota; Bacteroidia; Bacteroidales; Bacteroidaceae
Description: SSU rRNA
Rfam family: Bacterial small subunit ribosomal RNA
Source: RNAcentral
ACUUUUACAAUGAAGAGUUUGAUCCUGGCUCAGGAUGAACGCUAGCUACAGGCUUAACACAUGCAAGUCGAGGGGCAGCAUUUUAGUUUGCUUGCAAACUAAAGAUGGCGACCGGCGCACGGGUGAGUAACACGUAUCCAACCUGCCGAUAACUCGGGGAUAGCCUUUCGAAAGAAAGAUUAAUAUCCGAUAGUAUAUUAAAACCGCAUGGUUUUACUAUUAAAGAAUUUCGGUUAUCGAUGGGGAUGCGUUCCAUUAGUUUGUUGGCGGGGUAACGGCCCACCAAGACUACGAUGGAUAGGGGUUCUGAGAGGAAGGUCCCCCACAUUGGAACUGAGACACGGUCCAAACUCCUACGGGAGGCAGCAGUGAGGAAUAUUGGUCAAUGGACGAGAGUCUGAACCAGCCAAGUAGCGUGAAGGAUGACUGCCCUAUGGGUUGUAAACUUCUUUUAUAUGGGAAUAAAGUAUUCCACGUGUGGAAUUUUGUAUGUACCAUAUGAAUAAGGAUCGGCUAACUCCGUGCCAGCAGCCGCGGUAAUACGGAGGAUCCGAGCGUUAUCCGGAUUUAUUGGGUUUAAAGGGAGCGUAGGUGGAUUGUUAAGUCAGUUGUGAAAGUUUGCGGCUCAACCGUAAAAUUGCAGUUGAAACUGGCAGUCUUGAGUACAGUAGAGGUGGGCGGAAUUCGUGGUGUAGCGGUGAAAUGCUUAGAUAUCACGAAGAACUCCGAUUGCGAAGGCAGCUCACUAGACUGCAACUGACACUGAUGCUCGAAAGUGUGGGUAUCAAACAGGAUUAGAUACCCUGGUAGUCCACACAGUAAACGAUGAAUACUCGCUGUUUGCGAUAUACAGUAAGCGGCCAAGCGAAAGCAUUAAGUAUUCCACCUGGGGAGUACGCCGGCAACGGUGAAACUCAAAGGAAUUGACGGGGGCCCGCACAAGCGGAGGAACAUGUGGUUUAAUUCGAUGAUACGCGAGGAACCUUACCCGGGCUUAAAUUGCAUUUGAAUAAUCUGGAAACAGGUUAGCCGCAAGGCAAAUGUGAAGGUGCUGCAUGGUUGUCGUCAGCUCGUGCCGUGAGGUGUCGGCUUAAGUGCCAUAACGAGCGCAACCCUUAUCUUUAGUUACUAACAGGUCAUGCUGAGGACUCUAGAGAGACUGCCGUCGUAAGAUGUGAGGAAGGUGGGGAUGACGUCAAAUCAGCACGGCCCUUACGUCCGGGGCUACACACGUGUUACAAUGGGGGGUACAGAAGGCAGCUACCUGGCGACAGGAUGCUAAUCCCAAAAACCUCUCUCAGUUCGGAUCGAAGUCUGCAACCCGACUUCGUGAAGCUGGAUUCGCUAGUAAUCGCGCAUCAGCCAUGGCGCGGUGAAUACGUUCCCGGGCCUUGUACACACCGCCCGUCAAGCCAUGAAAGCCGGGGGUACCUGAAGUACGUAACCGCAAGGAGCGUCCUAGGGUAAAACUGGUAAUUGGGGCUAAGUCGUAACAAGGUAGCCG